UACGUAGGGUGCAAGCGUUAAUCGGAAUUACUGGGCGUAAAGCGUGCGCAGGCGGUUCCGCAAGUCAGAUGUGAAAUCCCCGGGCUUAACCUGGGAAUGGCAUUGGUGACUGCACGGCUAGAGUGUGCCAGAGGGGGGUAGAAUUCCACGUGUAGCAGUGAAAUGCGUAGAGAUGUGGAGGAAUACCGAUGGCGAAGGCAGCCCCCUGGGAUAACACUGACGCUCAUGCACGAAAGCGUGGGGAGCAAACAGG
This 253-nucleotide ribosomal RNA is filed under the name uncultured bacterium. RNAcentral's name for it is "partial 16S ribosomal RNA". It matches the Rfam family "Bacterial small subunit ribosomal RNA", at positions 524 to 776 of the family's 1533-position model. The record is from RNAcentral.